Molecule: ribosomal RNA, 1176 nt
Filed under: uncultured organism
Description: bacterial SSU rRNA
Rfam family: Bacterial small subunit ribosomal RNA
Source: RNAcentral
UGUACUUGCGGGUAGAGGGGGAAAGGUGCUAUGGCACCGCCUUAAGAUGAGCCUGCGUCCCAUUAGUUAGUUGGUGGGGUAAAGGCCUACCAAGGCGACGAUGGGUAGCCGGCCUGAGAGGGUGAUCGGCCACACUGGGACUGAGACACGGCCCAGACUCCUACGGGAGGCAGCAGCUAAGAAUCUUCCGCACUGGACGAAAGUCUGACGGAGCGACGCCGCGUGAACGAAGAAGGCCGGAAGGUUGUAAAGUUCUUUUGCGGGUGAAGAAUAAGGCGAGGAGGGAAUGCCUCGCUGAUGACGUUAGCCUGUGAAUAAGCCCCGGCUAAUUACGUGCCAGCAGCCGCGGUAACACGUAAGGGGCGAGCGUUGUUCGGAAUUAUUGGGCGUAAAGGGCGUGUAGGCUGUUUUGUAAGCCUGGUGUGAAAGUGCACGGCUUAACUGUGUAUGUGCGCUGGGAACUGCAAGACUAGAGUCCGUAAGGGGGAGUUAGAAUUCCUGGUGUAGGGUGAAAUCUGUAGAUAUCAGGAAGAAUACCGGUGGCGAAGGCGACCUCCUGGUCCUGGACUGACGCUGAGGCGCGAAAGCGUGGGGAGCGAACAGGAUUAGAUACCCUGGUAGUCCACGCUGUAAACGAUGUGCACUAGGUGUUGGGGCAAGAGCUUCAGUGCCGAAGCGAACGCGAUAAGUGCACCGCCUGGGGAGUAUGCUCGCAAGGGUGAAACUCAAAGGAAUUGACGGGGGCCCGCACAAGCGGUGGAGCAUGUGGUUUAAUUCGAUGAUACGCGAGGAACCUUACCAGGGCUUGACAUAUACCGGGAGCCGUGAGAGAUCACGGUGCCCCUUCGGGGCCGGUAUACAGGUUCUGCAUGGCUGUCGUCAGCUCGUGCUGUGAAGUGUUGGGUUAAGUCCCGCAACGAGCGCAACCCCUACUGUCUGUUGCCAACAGGUGAAGCUGGGGACUCAGACGGAACUGCCGGUGACAAACCGGAGCAAGGUGGGGACGACGUCAAGUCAUCAUGGCCCUUAUGUCCUGGGCUACACACGUGCUACAAUGGCCGGUACAGAGUGAGGCGAAACCGCGAGGUGGAGCAAAUCACAGAAAACCGGUCUCAGUUCGGAUCGGAGUCUGAAACCCGACUUCGUGAAGGUGGAAUCGCUAGUAAUCGCGCAUCA